AGCGACAGCGCCCGUCGGCCUCCUCCACCCCCACCCGCCGGGCACUAGCCUUGGAAACGCGAGCUCAGUCAGAGGAGAAGCGUGCAAGGAAGAGCUUAACCCGGAGCCCUUCGAGACUGCAGCUGUCUGGGAGCCAGGAACACCUGCUUCCCGUCCCCCACCCCGGGCUGCGAGACGGCCCUCAGAGCUCUCGGUUCCUGUGCUCGCUGCUUCGGGACAUUCAGCUUAAGGGGGUGAAUUCAGCCUGCACUCAGUGUUGCCGAGAGAGGGUUUCCAAGAAGAAAGUAGCUGCUGGGGCUGAGAACCCUGGAUGUGGACCACGAGCCGAGUUCGAAUGUGUGUGGCCUUACCUGCCUGUAUUCCUAUUCCUAACCCUAAUUCCAAGCAUUGCAGCAUCCUCGGUGGAGAGGGUUUAUGGAAAAUUAAAUGUCUUCCUGAUUUCUGAAAGAGCUGAUUUUCUGGUGAAGUCUUUGGCCUGCAAGGAAUUUCCAAGGAACCAACGGCAUUAAAAGACCCUGAGAUGGGUGUUUGUGGGCACCAGUUAUAAGAGCGAGCUGAAGAUGCCCUUUCUCUCGGAGAUUUUACCGUGUUAUCUGGGCUGCUGAAAGCUGGGUUCUUCCCAGAAGCAUCUUUCUCUUUCUUCAACGAGGCGUCCUCUCAACAGCUCCAUAUUUCCAUGUUGUUUUGUACCUGCUGCUUAAUGAUCUCCUUUGUUGGGCAGCAGGUAAUGAAUCUCGUGCUCCUCUGCCCUUUCCCUAAGACACUUUUCAUGCUACUGUCCUCUAAGACUUUGUAGGAGUCCAGGCUCACGGCCCUCUGCAGCUCAGCAGCACCGCCGUUGAGCGGAGAUUUCAGAGUGCUGAAAUUCUGAGGUCGGUGGUACUCCAGCCUCCUCUUGAAGAUUUUCUCCUGCACUAAGAUCCCCUUGAAAUUUUCAUGGCUUGAGCUCCUGCCUCAAACACUCCCUUUGUUUUGGGCUUUUCUCUCAAGCUCCCUCACGAGGCUAUAGAAAGCAAAAGGGACCAGGUAGUCUUGAGGUUGCCCACAUUCCAGGAGAUAUGUGUCUUAUAGACUGAACAGAAACUUACCGCAGGAGCUUGGAGGUGGACGAGUGAGAAGGCCCCAGGUAACUAACUCUUAAAUCAAAUGCCCGCUGCAAAAAUCCAGUUGCCUCUUGUUCAGAAUGACCAGAAACAUCACUUUUCAUCAAUUGAUCAGCUAGGUAGGAAGAAAAGAAACCUAUGUUAAUCCACAUACACUUCAAUUUGCACCUUCAGAAACUUACAAUUAAAAUGGAUGAAAUGAAACAAGAGGUACAUUAGUAAAAGGGCUAUUGAGUUUAAAUGUGCUUUAAAAGGGACAAAGGUGAGUUCACAACCAGGGGUGUCUUGACUCAAAAUCAACCAGUGUCGAAUGUAUUUUACAGUCUGUAUACUUCUGUGUGUGCCAGUGUGAGCACACCUUCCACUGGUAUAGAUCUCCACAGCUUCCCAUGGUGUAUGGUUCCUAUCUAUUUCCUUCCAUAGUGCCUCUGUUGUUUAUCUCCAAUUUAUCUUGUCCAUCUCUUGUUUGUACAUGGUCGUUUUCAUGUUGUUUCCCCCAUUAGAUUGUGAGCUAUUUGAGGGCAGGGGCUGUCUUGCACCUUUCUUUGUAUCCCCAGCACUUAGCACAGUGCCUGGCACACAGUAGGCAUUUAAUAACUGCCUGUUGACCGUACUUGCUAUCACAAAAGGGCUGAAUUUACAGCAUCAUUCAUAAACUUAAAAUUCAAGUUGUGAUACACCAAUAUUAUUGGCAUUAGUCUAUGACACAGGCACUAUGACCCACCCUAGUAUAUCAAAGUGGAGGAAAAGAUUGGCACAUGACCUAGCAGCCUUCCCAUGUACUAGUUUGUCCAUUCUCUUGCUAACAGGUGCUAAUCAGACUUAGUUCUAUUCAACAGUGACUUCAGUUUGCAAAGUGCUCUCUAUCAUGACUACCACUUCAUUGUUUUAUGGUACAUGGGAUGUUUUGAGCCAUAUUCCUCUGUUCAAUAAACUCUCAUGGCUCCCUAUUCCUUCCA
Molecule: long non-coding RNA, 2062 nt
Organism: Vombatus ursinus (common wombat)
Lineage: Eukaryota; Metazoa; Chordata; Mammalia; Diprotodontia; Vombatidae
Source: Ensembl